This 872-nucleotide ribosomal RNA is filed under the name Lachnellula hyalina. Its description in RNAcentral is "LSU rRNA". It matches the Rfam family "Eukaryotic large subunit ribosomal RNA", at positions 73 to 964 of the family's 3401-position model. The record is from RNAcentral. Lineage: Eukaryota; Fungi; Ascomycota; Leotiomycetes; Helotiales; Lachnaceae.
AUACCUCAGUAACGGCGUAGUGAAGCGGUAACAGCUCAAAUUUGAAAUCUGGCCCUUUUAGGGUCCGUGUUGUAAUUUGUAGAAGUUGCUUUGGGCGUGGCUCCGGUCUAAGUUCCUUGGAACAGGACGUCAUAGAGGGUGAGAAUCCCGUAUGUGACUGGUAGCUUUCGCCCGUGUAAAGCUCUUUCGACGAGUCGAGUUGUUUGGGAAUGCAGCUCAAAAUGGGUGGUAAAUUUCAUCUAAAGCUAAAUAUUGGCCCAGAGACCGAUAGCGCACAAGUAGAGUGAUCGAAAGAUGAAAAGCACUUUGGAAAGAGAGUUAAACAGUACGUGAAAUUGUUGAAAGGGAAGCGCUUGCAACCAGACUCGCAGGCCGUCGAUCAUCUCAGGUUCUCCUGGGUGCACUCGGCGGUCUUCGGGCCAGCAUCGGUUUGGGUGGUGGGAUAAAGGCCUUGGGAAUGUAGCUUCUUUCGGGGAGUGUUAUAGCCCUCGGUGCAAUGCCGCCUACCCGGACCGAGGACCGCGCUUCGGCUAGGAUGCUGGCGUAAUGGUUGUAAGCGACCCGUCUUGAAACACGGACCAAGGAGUCUAACAUCUAUGCGAGUAUUUGGGUGUUAAACCCAUAUGCGUAAUGAAAGUGAACGGAGGUGAGAACCCUUAAGGGUGCAUCAUCGACCGAUCCUGAUGUCUUCGGAUGGAUUUGAGUAAGAGCAUAGCUGUUGGGACCCGAAAGAUGGUGAACUAUGCCUAAAUAGGGUGAAGCCAGAGGAAACUCUGGUGGAGGCUCGCAGCGGUUCUGACGUGCAAAUCGAUCGUCAAAUUUGGGUAUAGGGGCGAAAGACUAAUCGACCCAUCUAGUAGCUGGGUCUGCGA